ACUGGUCGAGCGGAGCAGGGAGCUUGCAAAUGUUUUGUCGCGGCGUGGGGUGAGUAAUGCUUAUGAAUCUGCCUAUUCCUGAUGGACAGCAUUACCAAAGGGACCUUGUUACCACAUCCGCCCAACGUGAGAAAGCCGGGGAUCUUCAGACCUUGCCCUAAUAGCGAUGAGCAUAUGUCGGAUUAGCAAGUUGGUGGGGUAAAGGCCUACCAAGGCCACGAUCUGUAGAACUGUUGGACUUCUCAACUGAGACACGGACCAGACUCCUACGGGAGGAAGCGGUGGGGAACAUGACAAGGGGGGGAACCCUGAUCUUCAGAGGUACCGCGUGCAUGGAAGGCCUUGUGUUUGUAAAGUUCUUUAAGCAAGGAGGAGGCGAAAGGGGUUAAUACCUAUAAUUUGUGGACGUUACUCCCAGAAUAGUUCGUAGUUUGUUAGUU
RNAcentral lists this ribosomal RNA (440 nucleotides) under Acinetobacter sp. GRI-HRS-ADR. RNAcentral's name for it is "bacterial SSU rRNA". It matches the Rfam family "Bacterial small subunit ribosomal RNA", at positions 57 to 506 of the family's 1533-position model. The record is from RNAcentral. Lineage: Bacteria; Pseudomonadati; Pseudomonadota; Gammaproteobacteria; Moraxellales; Moraxellaceae.